Molecule: ribosomal RNA, 227 nt
Filed under: uncultured bacterium
Lineage: Bacteria
Description: partial 16S ribosomal RNA
Rfam family: Bacterial small subunit ribosomal RNA
Source: RNAcentral
AGUAACGCGUGAGGAACCUGCCUCAAAGAGGGGGACAACAGUUGGAAGCGACUGCUAAUACCGCAUAAGCCCACGGCUCGGCAUCGAGCAGAGGGAAAAGGAGUGAUCCGCUUUGAGAUGGCCUCGCGUCCGAUUAGCUAGUUGGUGAGGUAACGGCCCACCAAGGCGACGAUCGGUAGCCGGACUGAGAGGUUGAACGGCCACAUUGGGACUGAGACACGGCCCAG